CGACGAUACACUCCGAGGAGCUGGAAGCAAGCACUGAUCCGGAGAUUUCCGAAUGGGGCAACCCUAAAUACGGUCACCUGAAUAUAUAGGGUGAUGCGAGCAAACCGGGCGAACUGAAACAUCUUAGUAACCCGAGGAAGAGAAAGCAAAAGCGAUUCCCCUAGUAGCGGCGAGCGAAAAGGGACCAGCCUAAACCAUUGACUACGGUUGAUGGGGUUGUGGGACAGUAACGUGGACUAUGAUGGUUAGAUGAAGCAGCUGAAUACUGCACCAUAGAAGGUGAAAGUCCUGUAAUCGAAAACUUGAACAGCCUAACUGCAUCCCGAGUAGCACGGAGCUCGUGGAAUUCCGUGUGAAUCAGCGAGGACCACCUCGUAAGGCUAAAUACUCCUGUGUGACCGAUAGCGAAACAGUACCGCGAGGGAAAGGUGAAAAGAACCCCGGGAGGGGAGUGAAAUAGAACAUGAAACCGUUAGCCUACAAGCAAUGGGAGGACGAUUGAACGUCUGACCGUGUGCCUGUUGAAGAAUGAGCCGGCGACUUACAGGCUGUGGCAGGUUAAGUGGUAAUACCACGAAGCCAAAGUGAAAGCGAGUCUGAAUAGGGCGAUAGUCACAGUUUGUAGACCCGAACCCGGGUGAUCUAACCAUGGCCAGGAUAAAGCUGGGGUAAUACCUUGUGGAGGUCCGAACCGACUAAUGUUGAAAAAUUAGCGGAUGAGUUGUGGUUAGGGGUGAAAUGCCAAUCGAACCCGGAGCUAGCUGGUUCUCCCCGAAAUGUGUUUAGGCACAGCGGUUGUGUACCUUGUAGAGGGGUAAAGCACUACUUCGCUGCGGGCUGCGAGAGCGGUACCAAAGUGACGUAAACUCAGAAUACUCUGCAAGCAUCAGCCAGUCAGACGGUGGGGGAUAAGCUUCAUCGUCGAAAGGGAAACAGCCCAGACCACCAGCUAAGGUCCCAAAAUGAAUGCUAAGUGAUAAAGGAGGUGGGGGUGCUUUGACAACCAGGAGGUUUGCUUAGAAGCAGCAAUCCUUGAAAGAGUGCGUAAUAGCUCACUGGUCAAGCGCUCCUGCGCCGAAAAUGAACGGGGCUAAGCAUUCUACCGAAGCUGUGGACUACUACGGUAGUGGUAGGGGAGCGUUCUAUAUAGGGUGAAGCACUAGCGGCAAGCAGGUGUGGACAGUAUAGAAGUGAGAAUGUCGGCUUGAGUAGCGAAAACAUAUGUGAGAAUCAUAUGCCCCGAAAUCCUAAGGGUUCCUCCGGAAGGCUCGUCCGCGGAGGGUUAGUCAGGGCCUAAGGCGAGGCUGAAAAGCGUAGUCGAUGGACAACGGGUUAAUAUUCCCGUACUGAUUAAAGAUUGUGGCGGGGGACGGAGAAGGUUUAGUAUUAGCCGGAUGAUGGUUACCGGUGCAAAGUUACGAGGUUAUGAGGAACGGAGAAAACGUUCUGAGCUAAGUGCUGAGUCCAAGGAGCUACGGCUCUGGAGUAAUACGAAUCAUACUUCCUAGAAAAGCCCGGACCACGUUAAUUUUUAAUUACUUGUACCCGAAACCGACACAGGUAGGAAGGUAGAGAAUACUAAGGGGCGCGAGAUAACUCUCUCUAAGGAACUCGGCAAAAUGACCCCGUAACUUCGGGAGAAGGGGUGCCUGCUUAACCGCAGGUCGCAGUGAAUAGGCCCAAGCGACUGUUUACCAAAAACACAGGUCUCCGCUAAGUCGCAAGACGCAGUAUGGGGGCUGACGCCUGCCCAGUGCCGGAAGGUUAAGGAAGUUGGUUAGUUUCGACGAAGCUAGCGACCGAAGCCCCGGUGAACGGCGGCCGUAACUAUAACGGUCCUAAGGUAGCGAAAUUCCUUGUCGGGUAAG
This 1868-nucleotide ribosomal RNA is filed under the name seawater metagenome. RNAcentral describes it as "bacterial LSU rRNA". It matches the Rfam family "Bacterial large subunit ribosomal RNA", at positions 66 to 1980 of the family's 2925-position model. The record is from RNAcentral.